This 377-nucleotide ribosomal RNA is filed under the name uncultured bacterium. RNAcentral's name for it is "bacterial SSU rRNA". It matches the Rfam family "Bacterial small subunit ribosomal RNA", at positions 523 to 898 of the family's 1533-position model. The record is from RNAcentral.
AUACGUAGGGGGCGAGCGUUGUCCGAAGUUACUGGGCGUAAAGCGCGCGUAGGCGGCUCUUUAAGUGAUUGGUGAAAUCCCCGGGCUCAACCCGGGGUGGUCUGGUCAUACUGGGGAGCUAGAGUAUGGGAGGGGAGAGCGGAACUCCUGGUGUAGCGGUGAUAUGCGUAGAGAUCAGGAAGAACACCCGUGGCGAAGGCGGCUCUCUGGACCAUAACUGACGCUGAGGUGCGAAAGCCAGGGUAGCGAACGGGAUUAGAUACCCCGGUAGUCCUGGCCCUAAACGAUGGAUACUAGGUGUGGCGGGUAUCGACCCCUGCCGCGCCGCAGCUAACGCAAUAAGUAUCCCGCCUGGGGAGUACGGUCGCAAGAUUAAA